CDSGGCGGCGGGACCCCGAACGACCAGAAACGGAGUUCCCUUCGGGGACGCUAAGACAGGUGGUGCAUGGCUGUCGUCAGCUCGUGUCGUGAGAUGUUGGGUUAAGUCCCGCAACGAGCGCAACCCUUGUUAUUAGUUGCCAGCAUUAAGUUGGGCACUCUAAUGAGACUGCCGGUGACAAACCGGAGGAAGGUGGGGAUGACGUCAAGUCAUCAUGCCCCUUAUGACCUGGGCUACACACGUGCUACAAUGGACAGUACAACGAGAAGCGAGCCUGCGAAGGCAAGCGAAUCUCUGAAAGCUGUUCUCAGUUCGGACUGCAGUCUGCAACUCGACUGCACGAAGCUGGAAUCGCUAGUAAUCGCGGAUCAGAACGCCGCGGUGAAUACGUUCCCGGGUCUUGUACACACCG
RNAcentral lists this ribosomal RNA (412 nucleotides) under uncultured Lactobacillus sp. RNAcentral's name for it is "bacterial SSU rRNA". It matches the Rfam family "Bacterial small subunit ribosomal RNA", at positions 980 to 1392 of the family's 1533-position model. The record is from RNAcentral. Lineage: Bacteria; Bacillati; Bacillota; Bacilli; Lactobacillales; Lactobacillaceae.